GACAAGAUACACAACAUAUUUACAAAACAAAACAAGAAUAGGAGCCAACUAACCAAUUCAUCAGAAUCCCCAAGGAGACCACACUUAUUCCCAAAACAAUUCCAAAGCUCCAAAAUUCCCUAAGGUUAAGGUAAUCAUGGUUUUUCACUUAGGGCUAGUGUAUCAGCUUCAAAACAAAGAAAUGGGAAAAGCAUAGGCUCAAAGGGGCUAUCAAAGG
This 217-nucleotide long non-coding RNA is filed under the name Vigna radiata. RNAcentral's name for it is "long non-coding RNA (VRAD_LNC013753)". Lineage: Eukaryota; Viridiplantae; Streptophyta; Magnoliopsida; Fabales; Fabaceae. The record is from RNAcentral.